AUGGACACACAGGGUUCUAAUUGUAGAGACGGUUAGAUGUUCUUUAGCGGAAGCACCGGAAAAAGUCACGACUGUACACACGUGUCACUGCCUAAACUGAAUUGUGAUAUGAUUAAUCGUGCAACACAAAUCUGAACUGUAUUUAGGUUAAACAGUAAAAAAUUAUAAAGGCCUUUUUUAGGUGGAAUAAAUCUGUAAAUAAAAAAUUCAACUGAAUGAACCUGUGAAUGUCAGUCACUCAAAUUUCAUCACUCAUAAAACCUUUUAAUAAAGUACAGAACAAUCUGAGGUGUUUUUCCCGUACAGUUCAUCUUACUAAUAAACAGCUUAACGAAGGACAAACGUCACAUCCUGUUUCGUGAGUGAUUCCCGAAACUCUUCAUUAUCAGACAUUUUCCAAUUGGAUUCAGGGAGAAUUCACACAAGUCAAACACUUCAUUCAGUCUGGAGCUUCUCUCCAGACGGAUGUCGAGCUGAUUUUUAUGUCCAGGGGCAAAAAUGUUUCCAUGAGAAUGAAGCAGUGGUGAAGCAGCAGAUCUGCCCUGCGACACACACUCAUAAUGUCUACGGCAAGAAACACACAGCUGGUCUCAUACAGAGACAGUAAGAGGAACAAGAGGAACAUCUGAGUCGAGGUUUUCACUAAACAGGUUGCCAUGGUUACUGCUGGUAGGACGGAUGCCGUUGCUCUGAAUUCUCCUGGAAGCUGAUGAUCAACGCUUUGCUCCGGUGGGAUUCCUGUGGCUUCAGCUUUCAUAAAAAACAUGUUGAGUAAUAACGGCUCACUCGCUGUAACCUGGCCUCAGUGGGCCUCUGACUCGCAGGAAAAACACUGGACUAACUUCUUUAUUUUUUAUUGUUAAUCUGCUGUUACUGUCAAUCAACCUGCAGCAUCACAGACCUGAUGCCUCAAAAUGACCAAUUCAUUUAUUAUAUAAUAAAUAAUCUCUCUUUCUGAUGCAGUAAAGAACACACACAUUGAUUUAUUAUAAAAUACAAAUAAAAUAAACAUAUUUACACUUGAAUAUAUUCUAAUUUUUUUU
Tachysurus fulvidraco (yellow catfish) is the source of this 1043-nucleotide long non-coding RNA. RefSeq lists it as uncharacterized. Lineage: Eukaryota; Metazoa; Chordata; Actinopteri; Siluriformes; Bagridae. The transcript has 3 exons. The record is from RefSeq and is a predicted model, not a curated record.